This 72-nucleotide transfer RNA is filed under the name Camelus bactrianus (Bactrian camel). It matches the Rfam family "tRNA". From Rfam's summary of the family: Transfer RNA (tRNA) molecules are approximately 80 nucleotides in length. Lineage: Eukaryota; Metazoa; Chordata; Mammalia; Artiodactyla; Camelidae. RNAcentral also lists the same sequence under 3 other names. The record is from Rfam by way of RNAcentral.
GUGGGUAUAGCUUAGUGGUAGAGCAUGUGCUUAGCAUGCACGAGGUCCUGGGUCCAAUCUCCAGUACCUCCA